RNAcentral lists this long non-coding RNA (5036 nucleotides) under Brassica napus (rape). RNAcentral describes it as "long non-coding RNA (BNAP_LNC011293)". The stretch from base 3095 to 3168 matches the Rfam family "Small Cajal body specific RNA ncR26". The record is from RNAcentral. Lineage: Eukaryota; Viridiplantae; Streptophyta; Magnoliopsida; Brassicales; Brassicaceae.
GAUAAUCCAAAAGUUUUAUUCAUUUGAUGAACUCAUACUUGAUAUAUUUCUCCGGUGUUACAUUGGUUACAAGUAUUAUACUAUUAGAAAUGAGUAUGCGUAAAGAAAAAAAAGGGGGACAAACUACUUUCUCUAAAACAUCAGAUUGUAUUUAGUAAAGAAGAUAAGAUAGAGAGCAAAGCAAAUGACAGAGACGAGAGAAGCGAGCACACUGCUUGCCGUCUAAAGCAGGUUGGAGAACGGCAAUCAUUCCUUGUCAAAGAGAGCUUACAUGGCAUAACAUCUGCUCUUGCGUUCCCACGGUGGUCUGUACGGACCUAUGUGGCUUCUCGUUAACUAGUGGAAACAUCGAAUGAUUCAAAAAUCUCUCUCUUUCUCUCUUGCGUGUGUGUGUUGUGUGUGUGAAAGAGAUUCAAUGGUUAUUUUGUGUCCAGUACAAGAUUUAUAUGAGUUGAAGUUGAUGUAAAUAUAUAAUAGCAGCCGCUGCUUUGCGUCAAACAAUUAUAUAUUAACGAGAGAACCAAUGUUUGAAGGACCAAUCGUGUGUGAUUAUGGUGUGAAGAGUCCAUCAAGUAGAGAGAACCCGUGGUUACGCAUCAUUUUCAAGUUACGUUCGUGAUGAAAGAUUUUCUUGAACUUCUUGAAUUGUAUUGCCGAGUUGUUUAUAUAUAUAUAUAUAUAUAUUGCAAAAUUCAAAUAAAGCUAAAUGUUGUAAAAAAAACUUCUUCAAUUAAUUUGCCAAGUUGUUUUUAUGUAUAUUUAUAUAUAGUUUAUAACAUUAAAAUAAAGCGAAAUGAUUUAUGUUUUGUUUGGGUGUAUUUUGAUUAACAAAUACUCUACCCGUUUUCAAAAGAGAUUUAUAAAUAUAGCUUGAAAAAUUAAAAUACUCAUUCAUUUCUAAAAGAGAUGUUCUAGACAUUUUUCCAUAAAAAUAAAAAUAAAAAAAUUCAAAUUUUCUGAGCAUUUUUAUUAAAUAUUAAUUUAAAAUAUUUGAACUGAUUAAAUGUUAUCAGUUGCUAGCUAUUAACAAUUUUAUUGAAGAAAUAAAAAACAGAUUUAAUUAUAAAUAUUUAUAAUAUGCGUAAAAUUUUAGAAAUUUUAUAUUAUUGUCUUUUCUUGUUAUUAUGAUUAAUCAUUUAUUCAUGGGUCUAAAACUCAGAAAACUUGUUGGUGAUCUUGUUUUGCGGCGUGGACCAAUCAAAAGAACAACCAACCACUAUGUGUAGAUUUUUGCGAGGAGAAUAAAACCAUUGGAAAUUAAAAUAAGAAUUGACCUAACAUCGAAAGUUAUAGUUUAAUUACCAAGUUAUGUGAUGUAAUCAAAUUUCUUGAAAAUAUAAUUUCAUAUCAGCUAGAUGAUCCAAAAGUGUACUCGAAGGGCCAUUGUUUCUCACAGGUCAAUGCGACUCAUUUCUCGUUUACCGCUUUUGAUUAACAAACAUUCGUUGGUUUUGAUUUUAUUUCCUUAAAAAAUAACUGGCUAGCAAAAUCACAAGAUUUAUAUUCAUUUACUAUUUUUGUUGAAACAUACUAUUAAGAGAAAUCAGCUAAUCGGUUUCUUCUACAAGAGAGUAUGUUAGAAAUACUAACUUGAAAAUUGAAAUAAACGUUUGCAAAUCACUUCUCUAUUGAACUUUAAAAUUGAUUACGGAUUUACGGUAUCCUGAGGUUAUGUCUUUGCGUUUAAAUAUUGCCAGAUGCAACUUGCAAGAGUGGUGGCGCACCAAAUCACACCACCAAAACUUGUGAUUACUCUCAUAAUUUAAAUUAUUAAACAUUAUCCUCAACUCCAUUCAAUCUUGGUAAAUCUUCUUGUGUUUACUAUAAAAUUGUAUUAUACUUAGACGACGAACAUCAUAGUAGUGACAAUAUAAUUACGGAAACUAACUUCAGCGGUAGCGAUAGAAAAAAAAAACAACGGUGACUGAAUCAAAUAUAGCGCAAAACGACGGUAACUAAGCUAUUUAUUGUCGCUGGGUAAAGAAGCCACAAACUUUUUAUAAACAAAGAAUGUGGCUGAAAAUAUUAGCGUCCAUGAAAGACACCAGCGAUCAAUUCCACCGACUAUUUAUGUUUCCACCAUCUUACUUUGCUCUCCAUUAAAGUUACUUUUUCUGUAACGAACAAAACAACUGUGAUUUAGUGGGUGAGGUCUGAAGUUUUUUUUCUAUACCAAAUCUGAGAUUCAAUUUUCAAAAGAUGCAAUUUCUUUCGGAUUAUAUUAUUAUAUGAUGCAAGACUUAAGAGAAAAGCAGCUUUAUGCAGCAGUUUUUUGUGGCUGUGUACCGCAGAGAAAGCAGAAUUGUCCAUCAAUCUGAGUGUUACGUGAAAAGCUACAUCGUAAAAUUAUGGUCCUUGAAGUUGUUCGUCGAUAUUACAUAUGAUCGUCAAGUUUCCAUAACUUAUCAACAAGUACAUAUAAAUUGCGUUUGUAUGAUAUAAUGGGGUCGACUAAAUCACAAAGCCCAUGAGCCGAAUAGCCAAUAAACUUACGAGUGGAAGGGUAAAAUCGUCAUUUUGAUAUACCGAAGCCCUAGUUUUAUUUCACACCUUGGAACAAAACAUCUCACAUUUGUCUUCACUUUUGAUACGAUUUGCUUGUUGAAUGCCCAAUGAUGGAUAACUUAUGUAGUAGAGCGGAUGUAUCUGGGUAAAUCUUCGGCGUGUUGUGUGUUGUUCCUUUAAGCCUUGGAAACAUGGCUUCGUCGUCUCCGACGUCGUUUCACAAGCGCGACCACCAUCCCUUACUACCCCCAUUCACACACCUACACACACACGUGCGUCGGCUUCGAAGUAGUGAUGUUUCUCGGUUUUAUCCAUUUACUUAAAGCCGUGAAUGAUCAGAUUUUAUAGCUAUGAGAUCUGAGGGAUUUUCUUGAAAAAGUGGUUUUUUUUUCAUGCCCAUUGAUGUGAAAGCUCGAUAUUUUCUGAGUGGUGCCCUGGUUUUUCAAUGAUUUGUUCACCAAGUUAUCAUUGCAGCUCUUCUUCAUCAUCAUCAUUGUUAACACCAUCUCUUCUUCUUCUUCUUCUUCUUCCUCUUUUGUUGCUCUGCUGCUGCUGCUACUACUUUGUUGCGAUGGUAACUACUUAUCAUUUUGAAAAACCGGAGAUUGAUGCGCCGCCACUAAUGACAGAUUUUUAUUUGAUCACUGAGGGCUUUUUGUUUAUUCACAAAGUUUGUCUUUAUAGGUGGUUUUUGAUGUUUGGUUUUGCUUGUUUGUUACGAAAAUAUUGUAAAUGUUAUGAAAUAACUUAUAAUUGAUAUUAUCGAGAAAUUUAAAUAAGAGUAGAAUUUAAUACCCGUUGGAAGCAAAUAACACUAGUAUAAGGGAGAUAAUUUAUUAUAAGGAAGAAGAAGAAGAUGUAAUGGUUCUUUGAUUAUAAACUCUUGUUCUUGUUUAUGGUGUACAAAAGAGUGAGAUGAGUGAUGGUAUUUAUAGUGAACAACAAUACAUAAAAUAACAAAGAUGAUGCUUAAUUUGGUAAAUGAGUGGGUGAUCAUAGUGCUUGAUGAGUAGAUGAUCAUAGUGCUUGAGUUGGUAAAGGAGUGGAUGAUCAUAGUGCUUGAGUUUGGUAAAGAAGUGGAUGAUCAUUUCAAUGCUUAUCUUAUAACACUCCCCCUUGAUCAUCCAUCUUGUAUUACGUGGUGCCUCGUUAAAAACCUAGUCAUGGAAAACCCAAUGGGAAAAACCGUAGUAAAAGUAAAAAGAGUACAACUACGUAAGCUCCCCCUCAAAUGAGUAGUCAUAGAACCUUUAGAACAAUGAUAGAUUUUCAUCUCUCAAAUUGUAACAUUCUCUUUGGUUGUCUAUCUUUUGUAUGUUCUUUGUUGCCUCGUUAAAACCUUGUCAUGGAAAAACCCAAUGGGAUAAAAAAAAAAUUGUUUAUUAAUGCAUCAAAAAAAAAGUUUGUUAAAACGUGAAUAAACUAUACGUAACAUAUGCUUUUGGUUAUUGGGACUAUGAGGUUUUUGGAUCUGUAGAGCUGUACAUUCUCAUGUUCAGAGAGAAAAAAAAACAUAUUCCUGUUUUUUAAAGGAUAUUAUUAAAUCAUGUUUUCUGUUUUAUAAAAAGUGUUAAUUUGAUAUUUUUUUGUUGUACAAAAAAUGUUAUUCUAAAUUUCAAUGUAAUCUAUUUACAGUAAAUUUAUAUUAAUUACAAAAUGUUUUGAUUUAUAAAUAAUUUUAUUUAUCUAAAUACUAAGCUAAAUAUAUGUAACUAACAAAAUAUAAAUGUAUUUUAACAAAAUAUGUGUGACACUUUUUAUAAAACUGAGAGUAUAGUUUUACAUUUUUUUUCAACGACACUUAAACAUGAAUUUCAAAAAAUUCACUAGAUAAUCCAAAAGUUUUAUUCAUUUGAUGAACUCAUACUUGAUAUAUUUCUCCGGUGUUACAUUGGUUACAAGUAUUAUACUAUUAGAAAUGAGUAUGCGUAAAGAAAAAAAAGGGGGACAAACUACUUUCUCUAAAACAUCAGAUUGUAUUUAGUAAAGAAGAUAAGAUAGAGAGCAAAGCAAAUGACAGAGACGAGAGAAGCGAGCACACUGCUUGCCGUCUAAAGCAGUUUGGAGAACGGCAAUCAUUCCUUGUCAAAGAGAGCUUACAUGGCAUAACAUCUGCUCUUGCGUUCCCACGGUGGUCUGUACGGACCUAUGUGGCUUCUCGUUAACUAGUGGAAACAUCGAAUGAUUCAAAAAUCUCUCUCUUUCUCUCUUGCGUGUGUGUGUUGUGUGUGUGAAAGAGAUUCAAUGGUUAUUUUGUGUCCAGUACAAGAUUUAUAUGAGUUGAAGUUGAUGUAAAUAUAUAAUAGCAGCCGCUGCUUUGCGUCAAACAAUUAUAUAUUAACGAGAGAACCAAUGUUUGAAGGACCAAUCGUGUGUGAUUAUGGUGUGAAGAGUCCAUCAAGUAGAGAGAACCCGUGGUUACGCAUCAUUUUCAAGUUACGUUCGUGAUGAAAGAUUUUCUUGAACUUCUUGAAUUGUAUUGCCGAGUUGUUUAUAUAUAUAUAUAUAUAUAUUGCAAAAUUCAAAUAAAG